CUUCCGUAGGGGAACCUGCGGAGGGAUCAUUACCGAGUUUACAACUCCCAAACCCAUGUGAACAUACCUACUGUUGCUUCGGCGGGAUUGCCCCGGGCGCCUCGUGUGCCCCGGAUCAGGCGCCCGCCUAGGAAACUUAAUUCUUGUUUUAUUUUGGAAUCUUCUGAGUAGUUUUUACAAAUAAAUAAAAACUUUCAACAACGGAUCUCUUGGUUCUGGCAUCGAUGAAGAACGCAGCGAAAUGCGAUAAGUAAUGUGAAUUGCAGAAUUCAGUGAAUCAUCGAAUCUUUGAACGCACAUUGCGCCCGCCAGUAUUCUGGCGGGCAUGCCUGUCUGAGCGUCAUUUCAACCCUCAUGCCCCUAGGGCGUGGUGUUGGGGAUCGGCCAAAGCCCGCGAGGGACGGCCGGCCCCUAAAUCUAGUGGCGGACCCGUCGUGGCCUCCUCUGCGAAGUAGUGAUAUUCCGCAUCGGAGAGCGACGAGCCCCUGCCGUUAAACCCCCAACUUUCCAAGGUGACCUCAGAUCAGGUAGCAUGCCCCGAAUU
This 544-nucleotide ribosomal RNA is filed under the name Clonostachys rosea. RNAcentral's name for it is "eukaryotic LSU rRNA". The stretch from base 190 to 343 matches the Rfam family "5.8S ribosomal RNA". The record is from RNAcentral. Lineage: Eukaryota; Fungi; Ascomycota; Sordariomycetes; Hypocreales; Bionectriaceae.